Molecule: ribosomal RNA, 403 nt
Filed under: Verrucomicrobiota bacterium
Lineage: Bacteria; Pseudomonadati; Verrucomicrobiota
Description: Verrucomicrobia bacterium partial 16S ribosomal RNA
Rfam family: Bacterial small subunit ribosomal RNA
Source: RNAcentral
UGGGGAAUAUUGCACAAUGGAGGGAACUCUGAUGCAGCGACGCCGCGUGAACGAAGAAGGCUUUCGAGUCGUAAAGUUCUUUUAUAUGGGAAGAUAAUGACGGUACCGAAAAAGCAAGCCACGGCUAACUACGUGCCAGCAGCCGCGGUAAUACGUAGGUGGCAAGCGUUGUCCGGAAUUAUUGGGCGUAAAGCGCGCGCAGGCGGUCACUUAAGUCCAUCUUAGAAGUGCGGGGCUUAACCCCGUGAUGGGAUGGAAACUGGGAGACUGGAGUAUCGGAGAGGAAAGUGGAAUUCCUAGUGUAGCGGUGAAAUGCGUAGAUAUUAGGAAGAACACCGGUGGCGAAGGCGACUUUCUGGACGAAAACUGACGCUGAGGCGCGAAAGCGUGGGGAGCAAACAGG